AGAGUUUGAUCCUGGCUCAGAACGAACGCUGGCGGCGUGCUUAACACAUGCAAGUCGAGCGUGAAAGUCCCUUCGGGGGCAAGUAAAGCGGCGGACGGGUGAGUAAUACAUAGGUAAUCUACCUUCGAGAUUGGGAUAACUUUGCGAAAGUGAAGCUAAUACCGGAUAAGACCACGUAUCGUAAGCUACGAGGUAAAAGGUGGCUUGUAUUUAUACAUGCUAUCACUUGAGGAUGAGCCUAUGGCCUAUCAGCUUGUUGGCGGGGUAAGAGCCCACCAAGGCUAUGACGGGUAGUUGGUCUGAGAGGACGACCAACCACACUGGGACUGAGACACGGCCCAGACUCCUACGGGAGGCAGCAGUGGGGAAUAUUGGGCAAUGGGCGAAAGCCUGACCCAGCGACGCCGCGUGGGUGAUGAAGGCCUUCGGGUUGUAAAGCCCUGUCAUGCGGAAAGAACAGUCUUACAGUUAAUACCCGUGAGAUUUGACGGUACCGCAGGAGGAAGCACCGGCUAACUCCGUGCCAGCAGCCGCGGUAAUACGGAGGGUGCAAGCGUUGUUCGGAAUUAUUGGGCGUAAAGGACGCGUAGGCGGUAAUGAAAGUCAGAUGUGAAAUACUUCGGCUCAACUGAAGAACUGCAUCUGAAACUUCAUAACUAGAGUACAGAAGAGGGAAACGGAAUUCCCGGUGUAGAGGUGAAAUUCGUAGAUAUCGGGAGGAACACCAGUGGCGAAGGCGGUUUCCUGGUCUGAUACUGACGCUGAGGCGUGAAAGUGUGGGGAGCAAACAGGAUUAGAUACCCUGGUAGUCC
Molecule: ribosomal RNA, 812 nt
Filed under: uncultured bacterium
Lineage: Bacteria
Description: bacterial SSU rRNA
Rfam family: Bacterial small subunit ribosomal RNA
Source: RNAcentral